GACGAACGCUGGCGGCGUGCUUAACACAUGCAAGUCGAACGAUGAAGCCGGAGCUUGCUCUGGUGAAUUAGUGGCGAACGGGUGAGUAACACGUGAGUAACCUGCCCUUGACUCUGGGAUAACUGCGGGAAACUGUAGCUAAUACCGGAUACGACCCUCGGAGGCAUCUCCUGGGGGUGGAAAGAAUUUCGGUCAAGGAUGGACUCGCGGCCUAUCAGCUAGUUGGUGAGGUAAAGGCUCACCAAGGCGACGACGGGUAGCCGGCCUGAGAGGGUGACCGGCCACACUGGGACUGAGACACGGCCCAGACUCCUGCGGGAGGGAGCAGUGGGGAAUAUUGCACAAUGGGCGCAAGCCUGAUGCAGCAACGCCGCGUGAGGGAUGACGGCCUUCGGGUUGUAAACCUCUUUUAGCAGGGAAGAAGCGAAAGUGACGGUACCUAAAGAAGAAGCACCGGCUAACUAUGUGCCAGCAGCCGCAGUAA
This 484-nucleotide ribosomal RNA is filed under the name uncultured bacterium. Its description in RNAcentral is "partial 16S ribosomal RNA". It matches the Rfam family "Bacterial small subunit ribosomal RNA", at positions 28 to 523 of the family's 1533-position model. The record is from RNAcentral.